UACGUAGGGACCGAGCGUUGUCCGGAUUCAUUGGGCGUAAAGAGCUCGUAGGCGGCUGUUCAAGUCGAACGUGAAAACUCGGAGCUCAACUGUGGGCGUGCGGGCGAUACGGGCAGACUGGAGUACUGCAGGGGAGACUGGAAUUCCUGGUGUAGCGGUGGAAUGCGUAGAUAUCAGGAGGAAUACCGAUGGCGAAGGCAGGUCUCUGGGCUGACACUGACGCUCAUGCACGAAAGCGUGGGGAGCAAACAGG
RNAcentral lists this ribosomal RNA (253 nucleotides) under uncultured bacterium. RNAcentral's name for it is "partial 16S ribosomal RNA". It matches the Rfam family "Bacterial small subunit ribosomal RNA", at positions 524 to 776 of the family's 1533-position model. The record is from RNAcentral.